RNAcentral lists this non-coding RNA (30 nucleotides) under Mus musculus (house mouse). The record is from RNAcentral. Lineage: Eukaryota; Metazoa; Chordata; Mammalia; Rodentia; Muridae.
UAAGCAACCUUUCUGUGACCUCCCCCUGAC